This is a non-coding RNA of Schizosaccharomyces pombe (fission yeast), 2027 nucleotides long. NCBI's taxonomy places the organism in Eukaryota, Fungi, Ascomycota, Schizosaccharomycetes, Schizosaccharomycetales, Schizosaccharomycetaceae. The record is from the annotation of a GenBank genome assembly.
UUGUUAUUGUUGUGAAUUCUAUGUCAACUGUUUGCUAAUAUAGGCGGCGCAGAGAUAUGAAAACCAAACCGUGACAAUACACCUAAGCUAAAAGGUCAACGCACGCCUAAACUAGCAGCUCAACUCAUGAUUGGACUAAUAAUUUAAAACUAAAACUAAAACCUAAACCUAUUUUACAAAUAAAACUCAUAAUUAGGCUAACAACCCUACCCAUCAACUAACGACUUGACGGUAUGCUAUUCCUUCUUUUUUUUAAAGCUUCACUACCAUCGAAAUAUAUAUAACAGUAGUAAAAUUGUAAACUUUUAUUUUUAUACCAUAGUAGUAUGGCUAUGAUUGGAAGGUUGUAGUGUCAGUCAAGUUGGAAAAACUGUUGGCACUUUUUUUCUGAAUCAAUGGAAUUCUUAUCAAACACAUGCAAACGUAUAAAGAAGACUUGAAUAGAUAAUCUUUGAAUUCAAACAAAUCCUAGUCAACUGAACAACGCAUCUACCUCAGCAGUCCUUGGGAAAUGUAUAAAUAGGCAAGCAUUAAACUUUUAUAUAUAAAACCAUCAAGAUCUCUAUUUUUAACUCGGUGGUUUCUUUCACAAGACUUACUUCAAGAACGACAACACAUCCUGACAGUUAAUUCAUUAAUACUAAUACUAUCGAGGAUUCUGUCAUCCAAGUGGAAUGAACAUGGGCAUCAAAGGAAUGUUUCCUCAAAGUGAGAACUAUAGUGUUGCAAGCGAAUACUUGGUCGCUUAGAACAAAACGAAUUACUGUCAUUAGGAUAUGCUCAAAAGUGUGGCGCUAUAUCUUGUAUCUAUUGCUACGUUCAUUCAUUGAUCCAACAGCAUGGGUAUAGAAAGAAGACGAUAAGCAGGAGUUGCGCAAACGAAGUUAUGGAGUUUCUUGCAUGCAUGCAUGUUUUGGCAUAAAGCUGGUACUUCGAAAUAUGCCUAUGAAAUCUCUACCUGCUUUGCACCCUAAAUAUAACGUGUCGUCUUGUAGCUGCAUGUGAAUUACAACGAUUGAUAGAUGAAAAACAAAUCGACUUGUUGCCCAUUUCAUCGUUUCAAACGACUGGUAGUGUUGCUUGUGUCCAUAUCCAUGCUGUGUCCAUAUCCAUACUAUGUCCGUGUGUUUUGCUUUAUUACACUUGGUCAAAGAAAUCUAUAUGAUGUUCUUUACGAAACCCACAAAGUCAUUAGGGAUAUCAUUCGAACAGAAGGGUAUGUAUGCAAAAUACACUACAAGGACUAAGCCCAAGCACCGUAUUGUUUCAGUCUCGAAGUAAUUCUAUGUACCCGUGCAUUGGAGAUGCGUUUAAUUAACAUGGUGCGAUUGGACUUGAGUGAGCUGACAGCACUGUAUGAGGGUCUGUUUGCCAAGAUUCAGGACUUGUUGAAAGAGUUAUUACAACUACAACUAUAACUAUAACUACAACUAUAACUACAACGAUAAGAACUAUCACUACUCUGAAGACAACGAUGUGUUUUCUCAAGAUGAUAACGGAUCUAGCUUCGCCAUCAAUAAGUAUGAGACAAAGGAGUCCAUCUUUGAUGAAACAUCCAUUUUCCUGUUGUACAUUUUUGCAGGACAACUAGCCUGAGCACAAGAGACAUGGUGUACUAGACCUUGUGCGGAAUGUCUACUUCAAAACUUGCAUCUUUAUAUCUGAUAUAUAGAGAUAUAGAGAUAUAGAGAUAUAGAGAGAGGCUGAUGAUUUAUAAACACAAACGAUAAGACUUGUAACAUGAAGUUUGUCGAAAAAGUCAAUCUUUAAAUUCCUUUCUGAACCUCUCUGUUAUGUCAGUGCUUCGGUAUUAUGCUUUAAUGCAGUCACUUGAGGCGUUGUCCUAAUAGGUGCAAAGUUACCGUAUAUUUAGGUUUCAUGUUUGUGAUUACUGGAGAACGACUGUGAAGAGACCAACCGUAUCGUGUUUUUUCCAAUUGUGAUCUUCCAAUGCUUAAUAAAUACGAAAUCUUAUUUCGAUUUACAGGCUGGGCAUUCACGAAACAUAGCGUUUUUACAUUUCUACA